Molecule: ribosomal RNA, 404 nt
Filed under: Brucella melitensis
Lineage: Bacteria; Pseudomonadati; Pseudomonadota; Alphaproteobacteria; Hyphomicrobiales; Brucellaceae
Also listed under: 1 other name
Description: partial 16S ribosomal RNA
Rfam family: Bacterial small subunit ribosomal RNA
Source: RNAcentral
UGGGGAAUAUUGGACAAUGGGCGCAAGCCUGAUCCAGCCAUGCCGCGUGAGUGAUGAAGGCCCUAGGGUUGUAAAGCUCUUUCACCGGUGAAGAUAAUGACGGUAACCGGAGAAGAAGCCCCGGCUAACUUCGUGCCAGCAGCCGCGGUAAUACGAAGGGGGCUAGCGUUGUUCGGAUUUACUGGGCGUAAAGCGCACGUAGGCGGACUUUUAAGUCAGGGGUGAAAUCCCGGGGCUCAACCCCGGAACUGCCUUUGAUACUGGAAGUCUUGAGUAUGGUAGAGGUGAGUGGAAUUCCGAGUGUAGAGGUGAAAUUCGUAGAUAUUCGGAGGAACACCAGGGGCGAAGGCGGCUCACUGGACCAUUACUGACGCUGAGGUGCGAAAGCGUGGGGAGCAAACAGG